Molecule: ribosomal RNA, 406 nt
Filed under: uncultured bacterium
Lineage: Bacteria
Description: bacterial SSU rRNA
Rfam family: Bacterial small subunit ribosomal RNA
Source: RNAcentral
GGGCCCGCACAAGCGGUGGAGCAUGUGGUUUAAUUCGAUGCAACGCGAAGAACCUUACCUACCCUUGACAUUAAGAGAGUCUUGUAGAGAUACGAGAGUGCCUUCGGGAGCUCUUGGACAGGUGCUGCAUGGCUGUCGUCAGCUCGUGUCGUGAGAUGUUGGGUUAAGUCCCGUAACGAGCGCAACCCUUGCCCUUAGUUGCCAGCAUGUAAUGAUGGGGACUCUAAGGGGACUGCUGGUGGUAAACCAGAGGAAGGCGGGGACGAUGUCAAGUCAUCAUGGCCCUUAUGGGUAGGGCGACACACGUGCUACAAUGGUAAGUACAGAGGGCAGCGAAGUAGUGAUGCGGAGCGAAUCUCAGAAAGCUUAUCGUAGUCCGGAUUGGAGUCUGCAACUCGACUCCAUG